AAUGAACGCUGGCGGCAUGCCUUACACAUGCAAGUCGAACGGCAGCAUGACCUAGCUUGCUAGGUUGAUGGCGAGUGGCGAACGGGUGAGUAAUGCAUCGGAACGUUCCUUUUAGUGGGGGAUAACGUAGCGAAAGUUACGCUAAUACCGCAUAUUCUCUGAGGAGGAAAGCAGGGGACCUUCGGGCCUUGCGCUAGAAGAGCGGCCGAUGUCGGAUUAGCUAGUUGGUGAGGUAAAGGCUCACCAAGGCAACGAUCCGUAGCGGGUCUGAGAGGAUGAUCCGCCACACUGGGACUGAGACACGGCCCAGACUCCUACGGGAGGCAGCAGUGGGGAAUUUUGGACAAUGGGCGCAAGCCUGAUCCAGCCAUGCCGCGUGAGUGAAGAAGGCCUUCGGGUUGUAAAGCUCUUUCGGCUGGGAAGAAAUCGCACCCUCUAAUACAGGGUGUGGAUGACGGUACCAGCAUAAGAAGCACCGGCUAACUACGUG
This 490-nucleotide ribosomal RNA is filed under the name uncultured bacterium. RNAcentral's name for it is "partial 16S ribosomal RNA". It matches the Rfam family "Bacterial small subunit ribosomal RNA", at positions 29 to 507 of the family's 1533-position model. The record is from RNAcentral.